AGUUUGAGGUGUCGUCCCCCUGCGGAAACAAUUGGGUGAACCGACAAGCGUUUUGAGGGAGCCCAUAUAUCGUCCCCAUUACAGGCAUCCUCCGUUGAUGAGGAAGCUGGAAAAGGCGACGCGGGCACCCACCUUAUGGAGGUGGGUUCAUUUCGCAACCGCAGGGGGCGACUAUUUCUUACAU
RNAcentral lists this non-coding RNA (184 nucleotides) under Olsenella sp. KH1P3. The record is from RNAcentral. Lineage: Bacteria; Bacillati; Actinomycetota; Coriobacteriia; Coriobacteriales; Atopobiaceae.